GACGAACGCUGGCGGCGUGCUUAACACAUGCAAGUCGAACGGUAAGGCCCUUCGGGGUACACGAGUGGCGAACGGGUGAGUAACACGUGGGUGAUCUGCCCUGCACUUCGGGAUAAGCCUGGGAAACUGGGUCUAAUACCGGAUAGGACUCCGGACUGCAUGGUCUGGGGUGGAAAGCUUUUGCGGUGUGGGAUGGGCGCCGCGGCCUAUCAGCUUGUUGGUGGGGGGAUGGCCUACCAAGGCGACGAAGGGUAGACGGCCGGAGACGCGGACCGGCCACACUGGGACUGAGAUACGGCCCAGACUCCUACGGGAGGCAGCAGUGGGGAAUAUUGCACAAUGGGCGCAAGCCUGAUGCAGCGACGCCGCGUGAGGGAUGACGGCCUUCGGGUUGUAAACCUCUUUCAGCAUCGACGAAGCGAAAGUGACGGUAGGUGCAGAAGAAGUACCGGCCAACUACGUGCCAGCAGCCGCCGCCG
RNAcentral lists this ribosomal RNA (479 nucleotides) under uncultured bacterium. Its description in RNAcentral is "partial 16S ribosomal RNA". It matches the Rfam family "Bacterial small subunit ribosomal RNA", at positions 28 to 523 of the family's 1533-position model. The record is from RNAcentral.